This 656-nucleotide ribosomal RNA is filed under the name uncultured fungus. RNAcentral's name for it is "eukaryotic LSU rRNA". It matches the Rfam family "Eukaryotic large subunit ribosomal RNA", at positions 24 to 664 of the family's 3401-position model. The record is from RNAcentral. Lineage: Eukaryota; Fungi.
CCCGCUGAACUUAAGCAUAUCAAUAAGCGGAGGAAAAGAAACUAACAAGGAUUCCCCUAGUAACGGCGAGUGAAGCGGGAAGAGCUCAAAUUUAAAAUCUGGCGGUUUCACCGUCCGAGUUGUAGUCUAGAGAAGCAUCAUCUACGCUGGACCAUGUACAAGUCUCCUGGAACGGAGCGUCAUAGAGGGUGAGAAUCCCGUCUUUGACACGGACUACCAAGGCUUUGUGGUACGCUCUCGAAGAGUCGAGUUGUUUGGGAAUGCAGCUCUAAAUGGGUGGUAAAUUCCAUCUAAAGCUAAAUAUUGGCGAGAGACCGAUAGCAAACAAGUACCGUGAGGGAAAGAUGAAAAGAACUUUGGAAAGAGAGUUAAACAGUACGUGAAAUUGUUGAAAGGGAAACGCUUAAAGUCCAGUCGCGUUGGUUAGGAAUCAGCCUUGGUUUUCCUUGGUGCACUUCCUAGUCGACGGGUCAACAUCAGUUUUGACCGUUGGAUAAAGGUCAAGGGAAUGUGGCACCUUCGGGUGUGUUAUAGCCUUUGAUUGUAUACAGCGGUUGGGACUGAGGAACUCAGCACGCCGAAAGGCCGGGUCUUGUACCACGUUCGUGCUUAGGAUGUUGGCAUAAUGGCUUUAAUCGACCCGUCUUGAAACACGG